UGGGGAAUCUUGCAAAAUGGGGGCAACCCUGAUGCAGCGACGCCGCGGGAGCGAUGAAGGUUUUCGAAUCGUAAAGCUCUGUCCUAUGGGAAGAUAAUGACGGUACCAUAGGAGGAAGCCCCGGCUAACUACGUGCCAGCAGCCGCGGUAAUACGUAGGGGGCGUGCGUUGUCCGGAAUUACUGGGCGUAAAGGGUUCGCAGGCGGCAUGGCAAGUCCGAUGUAAAAGGCGAAGGCUCAACCUUCGUAAGCAUCGGAAACUGUCAAGCUUGAGUGAAGGAGAGGCAAGUGGAAUUCCUGGUGUAGCGGUGGAAUGCGUAGAUAUUAGGGGGAAUACCGGUGGCGAGGGCGACUUGCUGGACUUCAACUGACGCUGAGUAACGAAAGCGUGGGUAGCAAACAGG
This 403-nucleotide ribosomal RNA is filed under the name Verrucomicrobiota bacterium. RNAcentral describes it as "Verrucomicrobia bacterium partial 16S ribosomal RNA". It matches the Rfam family "Bacterial small subunit ribosomal RNA", at positions 355 to 776 of the family's 1533-position model. Lineage: Bacteria; Pseudomonadati; Verrucomicrobiota. The record is from RNAcentral.